GGCAAUUAUGAGGCUUGUAAAUGGUGUUGUUGAGAAGACCCGAAAGAAGGCAGAAAUUUCGAUAGCUGAGGCUGCAAAUGCUAUUGGCAUUCCGCGUAUGCUGAUUGAUGUUCGCCAUGAGGGCUCUCAUCGUGAUCUUCCUUCACUGCAGUUGGUCCGUCUUGCCUCUACCAAGGCGCUUGACUGGUUGAAAUCAUAUUAUUGGGAACCUCAAAAGAAUGUGAUUCGAAGGGAUUCAACUGCCAACCUGAGGAACGAAAUUAAACAUAAACUGCUAGAGAUGGCUUUCUGUUUGAAAGUGAAGCAGACUAACAGUUCACAUACUUCGGGAAAACGAAUGAGA
This 343-nucleotide unclassified non-coding RNA is filed under the name Hevea brasiliensis (rubber tree). The record is from RNAcentral. Lineage: Eukaryota; Viridiplantae; Streptophyta; Magnoliopsida; Malpighiales; Euphorbiaceae.